RNAcentral lists this ribosomal RNA (406 nucleotides) under uncultured bacterium. RNAcentral's name for it is "partial 16S ribosomal RNA". It matches the Rfam family "Bacterial small subunit ribosomal RNA", at positions 29 to 526 of the family's 1533-position model. The record is from RNAcentral.
AUUGAACGCUGGCGGCAGGCCUAACACAUGCAAGUCGAACGAGUGGCGGACGGGUGAGUAAUGUCUGGGAAACUGCCUGAUGGAGGGGGAUAACUACUGGAAACGGUAGCUAAUACCGCAUACCAUCGGAUGUGCCCAGAUGGGAUUAGCUAGUAGGGGGGGUAAAGGCUCACCUAGGCGACGAUCCCUAGCUGGUCUGAGAGGAUGACCAGCCACAGUGGAACUGGGACACGGUCCAGCUGCUUACGGGAGGCAGCAGUGGGGAAUAUUGCAGAAUGGGGGCAAGCCUGAUGCAGACAGGCCGCGUGUAUGAAGAAGGACUUCGGGUUGUAAAGUACUGUCAGCGGGGAGGCGUUACCCGCAGAAGAAGCACCGGCUAACUCCGUGCCAGCCGCCGCGGUAAUUC